GACGAACGCUGGCGGCGUGCUUAACACAUGCAAGUCGAACGGAAAGGCCCUGCUUUUGUGGGGUGCUCGAGUGGCGAACGGGGGAGUAACACGUGAGUAACCUGCCCUUGACUGUGGGAUAACUUCAGGAAACUGGGGCUAAUACCGGAUAGGGGCUCCUGCUGCAUGGGGGGGGUUGGAAAGUUUCGGCGGUUGGGGAUGGACUCGCGGCUUAUCAGCUUGUUGGUGGGGUAGUGGCGUACCAAGGCUUUGACGGGUAGCCGGCCUGAGAGGGUGACCGGCCACCUUGGGCCUGCGGUACGGCCCAGACUCCUACGGGAGGCAGCAGUGGGGAAUAUUGCACAACGGGCGCAAGCCUGAUGCAGCAACGCCGCGUGCGGGAUGACGGCCUUCUGGUUGUAAACCGCUUUCGCCUGUGACGAAGCGUGAGUGACGGUAAUGGGUAAAGAAGCACCGGCUAACUACGUG
Molecule: ribosomal RNA, 468 nt
Filed under: uncultured bacterium
Lineage: Bacteria
Description: partial 16S ribosomal RNA
Rfam family: Bacterial small subunit ribosomal RNA
Source: RNAcentral